This is a transfer RNA of 84 nucleotides. It matches the Rfam family "tRNA". Rfam says of the family: Transfer RNA (tRNA) molecules are approximately 80 nucleotides in length. Their secondary structure includes four short double-helical elements and three loops (D, anti-codon, and T loops). Further hydrogen bonds mediate the characteristic L-shaped molecular structure. tRNAs have two regions of fundamental functional importance: the anti-codon, which is responsible for specific mRNA codon recognition, and the 3' end, to which the tRNAs corresponding amino acid is attached (by aminoacyl-tRNA synthetases). tRNAs cope with the degeneracy of the genetic code in two manners: having more than one tRNA (with a specific anti-codon) for a particular amino acid; and 'wobble' base-pairing, i.e. permitting non-standard base-pairing at the 3rd anti-codon position.
GGUGUCUUGGAGAAGUGGUUAACUCACUCCCUUUGGGUUCUGCACAAUUGGGAGAGGUCAGGGGUUCGAACCCCCUAGGCGCCC